UUUAUUCACAUUAUUCUAACAAUGUUUUUUUUAUUUACGACAUUUGUUUUUGAGUUGUAUAUUCUCUAAACCCAGCCCAAUUACUGUGCUGAUAAAUUCAUAGAUUUAAAUCAGUUCACCUCCAACGAAUUUCUAGAAAAGCGUUUUAUUUUUAAAUAGAUAUUUUUAUUUUUUGUAUAUAAAAUUUGUCAAGAGAAAUGUUUCUCCGGAUGAGGGAAGAAGGGCGCUGACCUGGCUCCUCACUCCGCGGGUGGGUUUUAUCUUGUAGAUCUGGGUGAAGCUAGUGAUUCUGCAGUGGAAGUGUGUCGGCUGUGUUUGCUAUCGGAAGUCUUUGCCGCGCGCUUAUCUGCCCAGUGAGAGCGGCUGCUGAGCUGUGGAAACAGCGGACUGUAACAUAAAGGCGUAUUUGUGCGGAUUAAGUACUGUUUGGGAGCGGUAAACCCAGGAGCAGGACGACUAGGCUCCCUCUCCUCCCCAGUGCCCCAGCAUGGCUUCAGCCGCUCCAUUAGCCUGUUUUAAUUCCGCUCAUCUCGCUCCGUUUCUCCUUCAGACAGUUAGCCUGAAGAACAGAGAGAGCGGAGGUGCAGCAGUGAAGUGGCCCGGGCGCGCUCUCCCGCGGUCUCCGAGCCAUUACAACACGGCUUCGGUAAUCCCCGUUAACUCUAAUCACCUCUAAUGUGGAGAGGAUUCAGCUAUGAUGGACCAUCAGGAAGCUGGGGGCUCUUUAUUAUUCCAGUUUGAGCUGCUGCUUAUUAGUGGAUUUUUUCUAAAUUAGUCAAAGGAAAGCCGGUAAAUAGGUUUCGUUAUAGAACAUAAAGUCGUUGUUGGUAUUUCUGAGUCAUUUGGGACUCAAGACAAUCUUGCCCCACAUUACUUUUUAAAUUUUAAAACCUGAUAACAAUAAUGACUUGAUGGUCAUUAUUACCUGAAUCAAACCUGCUUAAAAGAUUUGGUUUAACGCGUGUGGUCAAAUCGGCGUCGCAAAAAUGUGUUACAGUUUUUUCUUUUUUCUUUUCUUUUAUUUAUUUUUUUAGAGAAAAGGAAUUAAUGUUCAUAUCAAGUGUAACUGCACCGAGCAAAGCGAUUGUGGUUCCUAACGUUGAGGACGACAGGAUAUUUUGUAGCUUAGGCCCAUUUACUUUCACUGUAAAACCGAAUCAUGUGCUCACACUGUGUUCAACUGUGUUGCUCAGAGUUCUGAUUGAAACGUUUAAGGAGAACUGUGUGAACAUAAUUAAUGUGCAAUAAAAUCGUUUUAUUCAAAAGGAUUUUUGUGUGGACUUUUAAUAAUGAUUAAUCAAACAAUGAGAACCAGAUUACAAGUAGAGACUGAAAUGUAUUACCAGCUCUUUCACUGAGAUUUUCAUUACACUCUGCCGUUGUUAACCACCAGUAAUAAGAAAGAAAGAAAGAAAGAAAGAAAGAAAGAAAGAAAAAGAAUUUGGCAUGCACGUUUUCAAAUAAUAAGCCCACUUGGAGGCACACUGCACUACAUGGUUAAACAUCCAAAUUGUACCAGCACACUUUACUAAAGCAGGCGGACAUUCUUUAUUAUGAAGGAAAGGUGCUAAUUGGCUUUGCAUAGCAGCACUGAAACCUCCCUACUGGAAAAACCCACAGAAAAGAUUUGUUGUGAUAGUUUUCCAUUUACAACAUCUGAUUUCUAUAUAGCUGACCAAUAUAAUAUUCAAUACCUUUCCCAAACCACAGAGAAUGUAAAUUCCAUUUGAAGGUGACUGCAGGUCUAACAGAGUGAUAUCUCCUAUCACUUUGUCUGACCUCCUCAUUUAUUAAAUAAAUAGCUCUCAGUGUGUGAUUACAAGCAAACGUCACAUCUGAGGAGCACAUGAUUGUCUUUAUUUCAUACAGCCCAAAUUAAAGGCUUGAAUCCCACAUGCUUGUUUGAAAUGUACUUAAACAAAUGCUGUUGCCAUGUUUGUUCGUGUUUUGUUUUCCAUGUUUCUUCCUGUCUAAGUAUUUCCCCCUUGGUUCUGGAAGAGUUCACACGAUCAAGCAAGGCACCCAGCCAGCCACUUAUCCACACAGGAGACAGCAACGAGACGACUGCCACAGGGACACUCGCACAGACACUCUGACAACAGACAGCUUCAGAUUCCUUGGUAAAUAUUAGACCCCACAAUAUUUUGCACACAAGCAGAAUACGUGUGAAGCUUUGCACUGUACACCUCCCUGGCCACGCAGGCUUCUGAAACAAGAAUGCCUCAUUUCCACCACGUCUAUGAAAACACCAGACUCUCACUGUGCUCAGAUACGCUCAUGAUUUAGUCUCAUUUCAGCUUAUAUACAGCAGCAAGUGCCUGGUGAGAUCCUGCAGAUAAUGUUAACAGCAAGAUCAUCUAAAAGGUGUUUUGUGUGGAACAGUUUAAAAUGUCAUAAGGAUGUUCUCUGCUGGGGUUAAAAUGGCUUAAAAUGUCUUUAUGUGGUACCAGUUUGUAAACUGCAUAACAUGCAAUGUUUGGGGAAUGAGACAAACUGUAAAAUUUUUGGAAAAGCACUUGUUGUGAAUUGAUACAAAUUCAUCUCUUGAACACUGCUUUUCUUUUCAUUAUUACUAUUCUCUCUGCUAUCUCCUCAAAAUGCGACAUUCUUAAGAAAGAGAUUUCAAACUCUUCUGAGACUUGAGAUUCGCCUCUUGGGAGUGAGACACCCUCAGUGGAGACAGACUACCACUGCUGUGUCCACAAGUACAACUUGGAACAUAUACAUUUGGAUGCAGUCAUCGUAGCUGUAAUUUCCUUGGGUUUGAUCUCACUGAUGUGGAUGACACAAUAAAAGAAAUACUUGCAAUGCUA
Long non-coding RNA from Pygocentrus nattereri (red-bellied piranha), 2813 nucleotides. RefSeq lists it as uncharacterized. The record is from RefSeq and is a predicted model, not a curated record. The transcript has 2 exons. Lineage: Eukaryota; Metazoa; Chordata; Actinopteri; Characiformes; Serrasalmidae.